UAGAGAGAGUUCAAGAGUACGUGAAACUGCUUAGAGGUUAAGCCCGAUGAAACUGAAUAUCCAUUAUGGAAAAUUCAACAUUAAUAUUAUAAUAUUUAUUUAUAAAUAUUAUAAAAAUGGUGUGCAAUUUUUCCAUAUAAGGACAUUGUAAUCUGUUAAUGUAAUAAAUAUUUAUCAUAAGAUUCAAUAAUAAAAAGUUUAUUCAAAUUAGUUAUUUUCGGAUUUCUAACAUAGAAUAAAUUUUAUUGAAUUUGAUAAAUCAUUGACAGAUUUAUUUAUAUAUAGUGCUUAAAUUCUUUAUUGAAUUUUACAAUAAUUUUUAAAUGUAUUUUCAUUUAUUAAUUUAUUGUAUGCAUUUAUAUGAUUAACAAUGCUAUAGAUUCAGUAUACCUUCGGGACCCGUCUUGAAACACGACCC
This 418-nucleotide ribosomal RNA is filed under the name Merodon ottomanus. RNAcentral describes it as "eukaryotic LSU rRNA". Lineage: Eukaryota; Metazoa; Arthropoda; Insecta; Diptera; Syrphidae. The record is from RNAcentral.